Molecule: ribosomal RNA, 301 nt
Filed under: uncultured bacterium
Lineage: Bacteria
Description: partial 16S ribosomal RNA
Rfam family: Bacterial small subunit ribosomal RNA
Source: RNAcentral
CAGUAGCCACGGUAAUACGAAGGUCCCGAGCGUUGUUCGGAAUCACUGGGCGUAAAGGGAGCGUAGGCGGCGUGGUAAGUCAGAUGUGAAAUCCCGGGGCCCAACCCCGGAACUGCAUCCGAUACUGCCAUGCUAGAGGAUUGGAGAGGUAGCUGGAAUUCUUGGUGUAGCAGUGAAAUGCGUGGAGAUCAAGAGGAACACUCGUGGCGAAAGCGAGCUACUGGACAAUAACUGACGCUGAGGCUCGAAGGCCAGGGUAGCGAAAGGGACUAGAUACCCCUGUAGUCCCUGUCUCUUAUAC